AACACUGAAAAGAGCCUGGAAGAGAGUGACUGCUUAAUAAUUACCUAUCAUUACUGCUACCACACUAAUUAGAGUUAUUGCAAGCUCCUGCUGCCCAACAUAUUUCACCAAAGAAUGUUAGAGCUGGGAAAGACGCUAACAUCACCCAAGUCAAAGCCUCACUUCACAAUGGAGGACACACGACCAGAGAAGGCGAGUGGCUUUUCCCAGGCCACAAAGUUGGGUGUGUUCACAAACCAGCCAGCCUCCUGACUCCCCACCCCACACACUUUCUGUUCCACCAGGACAUCGUAGAUUUCAGAUUCAGGUACAGAUGGGCUGAAUCUUGUGGAGUAUCAUUGAAAAUGGGUCACUAUGAAGUGAAAAUACCAACUAGACAGGAUCUGGAUGACUCUGGUCAGCACUGGCACAGAGUCUGAGCUGACGAAACGUCAACAGAGCUGGCGUGGGGUGGGCAGCCUCUCCGGGGGCCGGGGGCAGUGUGGUGGAGAGAGGUGAGGGGAGCAGAGCCACAACACAGGCAGGUGACCACCAAGACAUGGGAGAGCGUUCUGGAUGGUGAGCGGAUCAGAAACACGUCUUUGCAGGGAACUCUGGGAACUGGGGCUCUUUGACCAGGAGGACAGAAGAGAGGGCUCAGAGGCCACCCCAAAUAGCUGAAAGAUCUUCCUGUGGAUGAGCAAAUCAGCUUGCUGGGUGCAGCCCCAGGCGGGACAAGGCAGAAGCAAAGAGCAAGCCUGACCUGCAUCUAGUCCCAGCUCUGCCCCUGAGUGAUCCUGAACAAGGGACGUCACUUCUCCCACCCUCAAUCUCCACAUCUGUAAAAUGGGUAUAAGAAGAGAACCCACCUUGAAGGAUGGUGAGGAUCAAUACAGCAACACAUGGCAACUGCUAAGUACAACCACGCACACAUCAGGUUCAAUGAAUGGUGGCCACCGUUACUAGGUGGAGGACAGGAAGCUUCCGGGAAGGCUGGAGUUCAAUGUAAUAAACAGACCUAAUGUUGGA
Lynx canadensis (Canada lynx) is the source of this 1008-nucleotide long non-coding RNA. RefSeq lists it as uncharacterized. The record is from RefSeq and is a predicted model, not a curated record. The transcript has 2 exons. NCBI's taxonomy places the organism in Eukaryota, Metazoa, Chordata, Mammalia, Carnivora, Felidae.